AUGUUACGUCAGGCUAAAAAGCAUGAUGAGCUACUCGCUAAGAAUGGCUCUCAGCGCCCAGUUGGGGCACAACCUUUACCUGAAGUCCAUCUGAAUGUUGCAAAUAGACAAAAGUUUAAUGGUACCUUUCGAGGUAAACAUUCCAAUUUCGAGCAUAAGCGAAAGCACAAUGGGAACAUGAGAUCUAGAUACCCAGGAAAGGGAAAAGGCACUUCAAAGCACAGGGUUGAUAAAUCUAAGCUUUGCAACAAGUGUGGAUGCUACACACAUUCUACUGAAAAGUGCACAAUGCUCAAGCAUCUGGUUAUGCUGUACUAG
This 318-nucleotide ribosomal RNA is filed under the name Triticum aestivum (bread wheat). RNAcentral describes it as "partial small subunit ribosomal RNA". Lineage: Eukaryota; Viridiplantae; Streptophyta; Magnoliopsida; Poales; Poaceae. The record is from RNAcentral.